AGAAAGCAUUCAAGGGACAUGCCACCGAAGGUGACAGUGGGGGAGAAAGUGGAGCAGAGGUAUGGGAACUCCCUGACUGGCUCCAGGUGGAAGGAGGCUGCAAUGGUUUAUUUACUGUAAUCAUUGCACUAGGAAAAGGCAAUGAAAUGAAACAUCUUGUUUUCAAGAGUGUCCUGGGAACCAGACGGAACACAGCCCCAUUAAUCACACAACGGCACAUAAUCAACACACGUGUACUGCAGAAGUAACUCGCUUCACAGGCUUUACCCAGGAAAAAGAACAUGUUUGGGAAGAAUCACCGGAGGGACGAGUUUUCUAAAGCCUCUCUCAGCGCAGACACCGACAACCAGACUCAUUCACAAAGCUCCAUCUUUUGGCUCAGCCGGGUUUGGCUGUCAGAAAUGUUUAAAUAUGGAAAAAAAUAAACAGUUGCAACACGUUUCUGUGCAGAGAUCUGCCUGAGCUCCUUUGUGAUGUAAUGGGAAACGCGGCAUUCAGGCUACCAGCUGUAGAAUAAACAGAACUUCGAGGGUUAAAAGGAACUGAACUUUCCACGACCCCAUCUGCAGAGAAGAAAAUAAUAAGAGGAAUGAUGCACUGCCCCACAGCCCUGAUAGUUUAUCCUCCGGUCCCGGCUGCAGAGACAAGCACCGGAUGUGAUAGGGCUGCUCAGGGCCGCCUCCGAGUGGGAUCACCCAAACUCAGUUCACAUUCAUAUCAUCAGUUAUCUCCUUUCAUCGAACACCACAGACAUGAACACAACACAACUACCCAGAGACCCAUGGGCGACACAGUGACUCUCUACAGGAGUGAGGGAGUGUCAGGAAACUCAAAGGAAGAGGUGCUUUGAAAAACCAGGAGAGGUUACCCAACUGCAGCAUCCUCUGACAGAUUAAGGUAUGCCAGGUGAGACACGUCACACCACAAUAAUCUACCUUCUUGCCCAGAACUCAGAAAGGCAGUCUGCCAGCUUCAUAGGGAAGGAGUCAGGCAGGACUUUUUCUGAAAGCUCCACUGGGGCAGGACUGAGAGGAGGAGAGAGUCUGAAAAGAGUGGAGCACCAACGCCUGACCAAGACUCAGUCCAUCUUCCUGGCAAGUCUAAGGAGGAUGAGGCACUCACACACUCCUUCAUAUUUUACUGGGGGAACAAGCUGACUGGUGAUUAACAUCAAGUACAAUGACCCCAUGUUACAAGCCUGCUGGGGCCUGUGGAGGUGGCCAUUUCCUGUGUAAUACCAGCUUGUUUAAACACUAACAUUCAAACUCCACAGCUGCAGAACAAACCCGGAAAGAGUUGAGUGAGAAGAAGCCGUGCAUUGUGUUUCAGAGCUAUGGAAGAUCAGAGAAGCAGUACAGAUGGGAAACAAGUUGGGUCUUCUGGUUCCUGGAGUGAGGAGAUCUGGAAAUACAGCCAAGAUGGCACAGAAGCUAGGCACAAAGAAGCUGAAAAAGAGGACACCCAUGUGGUACAGACACAAAGACAAAUGGCUGUAACAAGAGAACCACGCCUAAGACAUGCAAUAUCUGCCUUUUCAAACGGUUUCCCUGUGGGCCAUUAUAUCCUAGCCUACAACUGUCCACGCAGGGGUCAGAGGCUAACAUAAGACCACUGUUGCCCUGGAGAGCUUCUCACUCCACUGGAGAAAACUGCAGGAAUUCAGCAGCUAAUAGCAGAAAUGGACUUGAAUCCAAUAAGUGUGGCAGAGUUAAAAGAAUAAUACCCGGGCUUGAAAUGGCUUAGCAUGCCUCUUGGAAAGCCAAGAUGUCAUGCCAACUCUGUUUGCAUUGGGCGAAGGAUUUGAUUCUGGUACCUCAGUGCUAGGUAGCUCAAGAGGCCCUGGGCUGGGCUGGAGAUGGGGAGAAUUCUAUGCGGCUCCUGGAGAUUUCUAGCAACAAUGUGUCAUCCAGAUGCCACAUGAUACAAAGAAGAGACAAAGGUAUCAAAGGCCACCAUUCCAGGAGUUAAGAUAUGAGCAGCAAGACACCAUCCUCUAAGAAUAAGAGAUGUUUGCUGGGUGACCCCUAAAGAGACCAGACUUAGAUGAAGAGUCAACACAUGGAAGCUCCCUAAGGAAGUCAGCUUACUGCAUACGCCCUACGUAUCCCUCUUUCUCCCUAUGUGACAAGACCUCAGAGGGCUCCCUACGACCCUUCUCCAGUGUGCUCUGUAGACUAUGGAAGACGAUCCAUGGAAAAGCAGCAAGUACAAGAAUUUCUAGAGUUUUUUUUUUUUUAAACAGUACUCCAAUCCAACAGUGUGAUAAAUGCAUCCGAGCUACAAUUAGGAAGAUAUAUAGCAUCAGAAUGCGAAGGUCUGGGCAGCCUGGUGAAACGCGGGCUCUCCAGAGCCCCAGCUAUGUUUCCCAUUAUGUAACCCUGGUCAUGGGCAGACAGCCAGACUCCAAAUGAAAAAGAGACUCUGGCUUGGCACUGGUUCUAUUUUCCUAUCCUCAUUCGGGGUCAGCGCAGUGUCAUACAGCUGCAGAGAAAGCUCUGGGGAUUAAACCUGGGAAAGCCUCCAAGACCAGGACCUGGGUUCAAGUACCAGCUGAAAGCAAUAAACCAACUGCCACAGCUGGGCUAGGUUUGGAUGUUCUCAAAGUCCCCUGACUCUUUCACUUACUGAGAACUAGAAAUCAGGAUAAGUGAAGAUUUGGCCUCAGCAGAGACUGAAAUGAGGUAGGCUGUCCCACUGCCCUAGCCUUGCCAAAGGUCCUGGGAUGCAAGGGGUCACUAUGCUCAGGUCCAUGAAGCCUGUCGCUCUACUCCUCUCCAGCACGACUUUCCUUGUGCUCACUUGCCGAAGUAGGGGUGCAGCUGCCUCUCCCUUCUCACCAGAGGCUUGGUGUGGAUGGGAACACAAACUAUGCUAGCAGAUGGGGCAAGUAGGUGGGCCCUCCAAACCAAGCAGUCUGUCCUAAACACACCCAGCACUCUACAUUGACUUUCACAGUGGCCCCAGGCCACUUUCCACAUCCUGCUAUAAUCCUCUAUACCAAUAAUCUCCUGGGAUUAUGAAGCCAUUCUGUUACAAUCCCUAACGGGUACAACUGGGGAGUCAACUUGCUUCCAUCCAUGCUGGCUCUAACACACAGAUCUAAUAAGUGCCACAGCGAGGGAAGGCACACAUGCCCACAUGCCCAGCAAUCCUGCCCUCAUCACUCUGCAGUGCCAACGAUACUCUCAUCAUCAUCCUAGGUGUUCCACAUGUGCCUGCUGUUGUGGUUUUGACUGGAAGGAAGAGGAGCAUGGGCAAAGAGGAGAGAACCAAGGAAACUCAAGAUGAACCCUGGAAUUCCCCUCAGAGAGGGGAAGAUGCUGUGCAAUGAUUCUCUAACUGCAUAAGGAAAGAGGGUUCCAGAGGAUCCUGAAAACUCAAGAAGAGUAACAACUCACCAAACAAGAUCCAAGUAAGGGGGAAGAAACUCAGGACUGCAAAACACCUGGAGGGAGAGAGCUCCACGAGGAUCCAUGCCAUCAUGGCACUUUGGGAGGCCUGUCACGAGUUACACAGGCCUAGGCUGCCCACACCCCAGCUCAGCAGAAAAAGAGAACUGCAAUCCAAGUCAGACAGAUCCUGCCUGGACUCUCCGCAGAGAGCCUGGAGAGUCUGACCAGCAAAGAAACAGCAAUCUUCCUACCUACCCCACUCUCAAUCCCCCCCACCCCAAUCCAGGCUCCCGAAGAAGAAAAACAAACAACAACAGAGCAGGCAAUUGCACAAGAGCUGCAGAGUGAAGGCGAGGUGGACGGCAACGGCUUCUCGGCUGUGCCCCGUAUCUCUUCCCAGAACACUGAUGACAAAGCUGGAGACGUUACUCACAUGCUGAGCCAGUCAGCCCCUCACCCAGGGCUGGUGCUGAGAAGUCUGACUAGAAACCGGCAGUCAACGCUGACACACUCAUUUAUAAUAAAAGGUGUAUAUUAAACAAACUAGUCAAAUCCUUAAACAAAAAGUAAGGGCAAAAUGUGACUGUCAUUCUUAAUUGUCCAUGCAAAAUCCUCCCGGUUAAAUUCCAUGUGUCUCCUGGACUUUGAUAAAUGUUAUUUCUCCUCUCAAGAACAUGAACAGAGAUACCGCUGUCGAAGUAGCUCUCUUGGAAAGAAACCUGAUAAGAAAACCUGCUAUGGCAGGUGAGUGAAACCUGUGACGGACACCAUUUUGGGGGAUGACCAGACUGGAACAUAAUAUUUCACUGAGGCAGAGGGGUCUGUGGUUACUUUCUGCAUGCCACAUGUCUAGCCCUAAAGAACUGAGGAAUGCUCUCGACAGGAAAAACACAGCAGCCAAUGCUGCGAUACCAAAGCCACAACUCCACGGGGCCCUGGAGCCUCUCAAACUAAGCUGCCAGCUAGGGAGCUAACACUAGCUUUGGAUAAAACACAGCUCUGGUACAGUAAUUAAUUUUUUUCUUAACUAGGAUUACAUUAAUUUUCAAGGACUAAUGGAGUCCAGCUGUAAUGUGAAGAGUGGCUGCUGAUGCACAAAGGCACUUGUGCGUACAUUAUAAACACACACACACGCGCGCGCACACACACACACAGACCUAUAAAAAGGAUCUACUAUAACAGGAUAUUUUUAGUUUCUACAAUGCUGCACUAAAAAUACAGUCCCGGCUGAUACAUCAUGGCAGAACUAUUCUCUCUCUGUCCCUUCAGGAACAGUUUAAAACAUUUAUUUUUGUUUCCUUUUGCGAUGGUCAGAGUAGAGAGAGAAAAUAGCAACUCAUUGAUAAGAGGAAACGAGACAGACAUGAAAAAUUGAAAACUACCUAAAAACUCAUGGAGAGGUUUAUUUUAUUAGUUCUUAAUAAAUAUCUUGCAGAUUUCCUCAGGAAAUACACCAGAUCACAUGUAAAAUAGUUUGAUACUGAUGUCAACUGCAUCAACAUAUGAAGUCUAUUAGGGUGAAGCCGCAGCAGGGUGAUCAGCGUGCUGAAAAACUCCACAGUACUUGUGUGUGUGGGGGGGGAUCUCACGGCCUUCCAAAUUCUUCGAGAGGUAAAAAAGUCAGCCAAGACGCAGAGAGAGAAAGAGAGAGAAAAAAAGAUCCCACAUCCUGCUUUCAGCUGCCAGCAAUGUGAAGUGCCCAGAGAUUAAUUCUACGUCUGGCCUGGAAAUGCGA
RNAcentral lists this long non-coding RNA (5127 nucleotides) under Homo sapiens (human). RNAcentral describes it as "HSALNT0388053". The record is from RNAcentral. Lineage: Eukaryota; Metazoa; Chordata; Mammalia; Primates; Hominidae.